GCGACCAUGCGGGACACACCGAGCCUGCGCUGAACCGGACCACGAUCGGGCAGAGACUUUGGGACCUGGACUGCAAAUUACUGCUGCUUAACACAACUUUUAUAAAACUUGCUUAGACGCACUCCCUAGUUCAGUGAGAAAGGGCCCCAGAGCUGGUGCAGACUGGAAAGAUAAGGGAGUUACAAGCAGUCUGCAUUCCUAUGCUUCACACUCCGGGAGGGAGGAUGUCAAGGCUUUGAAGUGAGGCCUGCUUGGGCGCCAGGACCCUGGGAAACAAAGCCUCCCCUCACUGCUGAAACAGUGUUAAUUAGGGGGGGGUCUGGAUUAUAUCCUCCUCGUCAGGACCUUGGAAGAUAACACCUAUUGUCACUGCUGGGGCAGUGCUAAUUGCUGGAACAACACCUGUUUGUCAGGGCCCUGAGAAAGAAGGGCAGAACCCGAGGAAUCAACACAUUUGUCAGCAGAAACCGCAACAGUAAAGAUAAGGGAGAAAAGCAGCCUGCCUAGGAACAACGAGGAGACCCAAUAGGGAGCAGGAGACCCCAGACCCAAAAAUUACUAUUGGUCUGAACUACCGCGUGAGGGGUGGGAAACUUAAUUUGAAAAAGCUAUAAUUGCCCAGGGAUUUCUUUGUUCAGGGUCCCUCUUUGGAGGCACCCAACUCGAGCUGUAACUACUGCACACGUGUCAUUCCAAACUUUUCAGCGGGAACCUAGGGUCGGACCCUGCUCGAGUUGUAAUUACUGCACGCGCAUCGCUAAAAUUUACACCCAGGGUGAAGAGGACCAACGGGACGCCGCUGGAUUCACGGGUGGUCCCUUCCUACAGGAAACUCCAAUACUGUAUGCAACCGGACAAGAGUUGGGAAUCAUCAUUCAUAGACUGAAGAAAUUUUUUGGUGAUAUUCCUUCACUGAGACAUGAACUCUUUUUCUUGUCCUCCUCAGUUAGGGAAACUGUGGGCAUUCCAGUGAGUCUGCAGCCUCCUGAGGUCCUCAACGGGGCAAGUUCAGUGCCAGUGGUGGGGGUCCCUGCCUCUUCAAUCUUUGGUCUAUCAUAUGUUUAUACAUACUUAUAGAAGAAGUAUGUCUGAGGAAAUAACCAAGGAGUACAUGUAUCAUUGAAGCUGCAAGUUGCAACACUAGUAUCAUUCCUGGGAUAGUACUUUAUUCUUCCUCCUUGUGGUUCCUUCAUCUGGAAAUCUGCUUGCCACCUCUGGGAGAAGUAAGGUCUAGAUGCCAGCAACUGGAGAAGCACGGGUGAGUGAAUUUGGACCAGCAACCAGGAUCAGACCUCGGGCAAUGGUGGCUGCCAUGUCUGUGGUGCCAGCAACUGGAGUGAGUGAAGUCCUUUAGCGUCAGCCACUGGUGCAGGACUUGGGGUCACAGGGCCCAUCUGUCCUGGGCCUGCAGACCAGGUACUGUGGGCCUGGGUGAGUGAAGUCAGUGAGUGACUCAGCAUCAGUGGCUGGAGCAGGGACCACAGGUCAUGGUGCCCAUAUCCCUGCACAGCAGCUCCAGGGAGUGGGGGAAUGGGGAUAGUGCAUUUGUAUUUUUCCCUAACUGUGUGUGUGUGUGUGUGUGUGUGUGUGUGUGUGUAAUUCACUAGCAAAAGUCAAGCUGGACUGGCCAAUGAGUAGCAGGCCCAUAUAGCAGGCAGGGGGCCCAGGAUCCAAGCAAGGAUAUUAGAUGGGCACAGGGUUCAUGCUGAUAUUUGAGGGAUCUGCAAAUGUGCAUAUGCUUGUGAACUAGGGAAUUAGGGAGUGUGCAUUUUCACUAGUGAACUUCAGUCUCUACUAGCUCGAAAGGAGGACGGGGACUUGGCUACCUGUGUUUAUGUUUUAUGUCAGUUCUAGUAAUGUACGUGGAUGUCGCUGAAGGCAGCACGUUGUCUGCAGCAGUCUGUGUAGCCGGCCCUGUCAGUGUCCUCUGUGUGUGUUUGUGUGCGUCUCUGGGAUAUACACUCAGCCUCACUACUGGUUGAACCUGCCGACAGGAGAGCAGCAGUCGCGUCCAUCAAUGGAGAGCCCUCCAGGUCCCCAGUUGCACCACACUGGGCUCCGCAGCUGGGGGGGAGGGAUCCCCCGAUCCCAAAGCCUGCCAGAGGUGGUGGCCCUUUUAACAUUCCUCAACACUCUGUUUUGGCUUUCUCUCUCCUUCACCUGGCUAUGGAGAUACUCUUCCUUAUGGCUUCCCUAGCUCUAGUCUCCACUUUCAGGUCCCAAUAUGUGCCAAACUCUGUUGCUAGUCUUAACCUGUUCCAGUCUCCUGCUGCCUAUCCUUUGGCUUAAACAGAGGAGCACAAUCCAGUUAGCCCAUUAUCAAACAACUCUAAUAGCUCUCCAGCUAUUUUAUCAAACUAGCAUAAAAGCAAGAAAUGAUAAAGUAUACAUAGAGACUAGGACUGGACCUCACCACUGGUUUCAGUUUCAUCUUCAUUAACACUUUCUGUAAUCAAGUUUAGCUUUUAAAAAAUAUUUUAAAGUUAACAGCUUUAUGUUUAUAUUAAAAAAUCCUCAGAAAUUUAUAGUUACAGAAUCCACGGAUAUUCUAUUUUACAUUCACUCUCCAAUAAAGAUUCUGCUAUAUGACCACUUGUUUCUUUUUCAGCAACAUUUUAUCCUUGUUUCCUUUUUCAUGGAGAGACUUGAAAAAAGGUACUUCAUAUUGAGAACUCUGUGGAUCAGCAACUGUAGUUUCUUAUUCUUUCCAGUCUAUUUGUGUUUUUUGCUUCCUGCAUUUAGCUAAAAUAUAUGUUAUUAAAAUAGUAGAGUAAAAUAUUUCUAAGUAGGCAUUUUAAGAGUUUUGGCAGCACAAACAAUUACAGAUAUUGGGAGUAAAAUUGAUGACUGUAGAUGGUACUGAGAGAGGUAGUUAAGCCCUGAACAUAUCUAUAUGCAGAAGAAAAAGGAGAAAGGUAGGAAAUCAAAUAAUUUAAACAGCGCUUGGACAUAAAUCCCAACCUUUUAAAUAUCUCCAGAAAUAAAUGUAUUCCAGCCAAAAGAGAGAAGAAAACCUGUACUUAUAACAAACAUGUAGUACUUCCAAUGAAAAAAAGUUAAUAAUUGCACUAACUCUGGUAUUUAAAAGAUUAUGUCAGCUACUGGGAAAAAAAAAUGAAAACAAGGCAAAUCCUCCAUAUUUUGUAAGACAAGUUACAAAUUAAGAACCAUACAGGUAAUGUUUCAUUAUAAAAAUAGGAAACCGACAUAAGGACUUUUUAAUUAUUUUCCCUUUGCCUCUUUAAAAUUACCAUGUGUAACAUUCAGAUGUUCAAGUUACACAGCCAAGAAUUAUUGUUUUCAGAAAACUCAGCUAACUCAGCUUUAAAUGUAAACUGAACAGAGAAAAGUGUCAUCACAAUCAUGACAGUCACGUACGGAACAGAUUGUGUUGCACAGGCUCGGAGCAAGUAAAAUCCAACUAGUAACUGAUUUAAAUAAAUAAAUAAAUAUAUUGAAUUGGAAAAGCUUUAACCACAGUUUACCUUCAGUUUUCUUAAGGCUCUAGGAAACUCCAUCGUAUGUUUAAUGAUUCAUACUUUUUCAGAAUUACAGUACUCUGCACUUUAAGCUUAUCAGAUGGGUUCCUGCCAUCUUCCACACUGAAUAGGGUUUCCCUUUCUCUUUCUUUUUUUGUCCCUCUAGAAAGCUCUUCAGGAAGAGGUGGAACAUUAAAAGCAGAUGUGGGAGUCUUCUUAUCUAAGGAAAAACCUGAGACUAAAGAUUCAGAUAUCCACAUUAGAAGCUAUGCUGACAUUCGUCAAAUAAAAAACAGUAUAUGAAAGCAUAAAAACACACUCUUAUAUUUAUUUCUUCUCCUUUUCCUAUUUAUUUUGUUUGUUUCUGUAUUUAUAGGACAAAAUAAUAAAUCUAGAGGCCUUCUUAUUCUACUAAAGCCAUGUAUAGAACAUAGGACUUGAACUGAUACUGAGAAUAAAAUCUAAACAUUGACAUAUUGUAAUACUUAACUUCAAAUUGCCUAAAGUUUCUUCAGACCACAUUAGCAAAUUAAUUCUAUAUAAAUUAAAGAAAGUCAGAUGCAUACAAAUGCACCCUUUGAAUGGAUUAAGAUGUAGGUAACCCAAAAGGAAAUAUCAUAAAAGAAGGACUCCUGGAAUACAACAGGUGCUCUUCACAUUCUGCAUGAUAGGUUCAUAGUUAGAGUAAUUUAGACCAUACAAAACAGUGGGUUGCCUGUAAACAUGGACAAGUGCAUAACCACAGCUCUUACUUUUUAGGAAUUUUCCCUGGCCUCACAGGAAAAUAAAGAGGGGACUGUACUUAGUCAUUACUCCAAUGAGGAGACCAAGGAAGAAAGAAUGAUUACUUCCUCUAAGGCUUUCAGAAGAAAGGAGCUGAUGUGGCUCUUUGUCCUAUCUUCUCAGCAAGUUUCUUUUUUUUAUGUUAAGUAGGCAUUGACUAAAAUAAAAGACUAUUUACUAUUCCCAGCUCCAGGCUUUUCGAGUCUUAGUUUUAUACACUGAUUCAGGCUCUUGCUUCUUUUGCCUCUUGGACCAAAAUUCUUGCCUUCAAGGACAACAUACUCAUGAAGACUAUUCUAUAGUCUCUCGUUUUUCCAAGAAAAUGUUGACAUCUAUAUUUACAAGAAAACAUCACAUAACCCCAUUCAAGAAAGCUACAUAUGUUUUCUUUGAAAAAAUACAAUAUCUUCCAUAUAUCUAGUUAAGACAAUUAACUUUAUGUAAUAUUUGCAGCUGUAGCAAUAAAUUUAUCCAUGAAAAAUGUGUUUCUGGAUUUUAAUCAGCUUCUGGAGCCUUUUUAUUCACUUCUUGAUUGCUGAGUGAGACAGAGUAGAAGAAAUAUUGAGGUAGAGACACAUUCUGACAUUGACCCUAUUGGAAUGCAAGCCCUGCAAGAAAAUUAAGUUCAAUAAACUCAUUUAGUAAUACUCUUUUAAUAGACAUCAAAGUUACAAUCCAAAAGGAAAUAAUGUCUCACUUUCAUUUACACCUAAAUAUUUUGAUAACAUUUUAAUAAAUACAUUAACCUUAAAUCAGACUAUUUCCAAAUUUCUAAAGACACCUUCUAGAUGUCUUCAUUAUUUUAGAGGCUAAAUAUUAGAAAGUAUAUUUCAUAGGUAGCUUUUUUUACUUUUGUCUAUUAGACUUCUCAGGCAACAGAAGAACAACCCAGUUUAAUAUUAGGCCUAUUCAUUUAGAGUUAAUCUGUUUUCACCUCAAUCUUUUCUUCCCUUAAGACUUAUUCUUUUCUUCCCUCUCUCUCUUCAUUGUUCAUCAGUACUGUACUGGGAAAGCCGUACAAAUAUUUAGAAAAUACUUUAUAGCCCAUUUCCUAAUAUUUCCUAGAUAUUUCCUAAUGAGCUUAUUUUCUACUACAUAUUCCUAGUAUCAGGAAAAAAGGGGAUCAUGUAGAUGGUCUACAAUUAUAAUUUGAUUAAAACAGGAAGCUGCAUGUACUCUCUCUGCUUGCCCAUUACCUGUCUAGGGCUUUAUCUCUUAAAUUUUUACAGAAGUAAAAUUUUGUAUGAGUUGUAUAUGAGAAAUAGAGAUGACUGUUGAGAUUCAUUUGGCCUUAUUUAUGUAUUUAAACAUUAAGCAUCUAAGUUGAUGUCAGCUUCAGAGCGCAAUUCAUCUCCUCCUUAAUAUGUAUCUGAGACUGGCAAGACAAAUCAUAUUCUGGAAGCUCCUGUUCCUCUCCACUAGUUUAUAAAGCAUGUUUAGCCUGACUAACUCAGGUUUAGACAUCUUUCAUUAGAUGUCAGUAAGACAGAUGAGAUGAUUCCCAAGCCUUCUGCUAAAAUGCAUUGUACGUAUUAGCUACGAGGUGCUAGGAGAGUAGCCUCUUAUGCACAUACGGAACCAAAUUCCUUGCUAGAGUGCUCUGUCCAGGCUUGCAGGCUCUAGGUUUAGUUCUCAGACCAAGACCAUAUAUAGGAAGACACACAGAAAUAACUUCUACAAGCACAAAAGGAUCUCUUUGGGCAAACAUUCUGUGAUAUAAAUGCAUGGCAAAUUUACCAAAAAUUCUUUGACCUGGACAGCAUUCAAAAUAUCAUAAGAUGGAGUACACUCAUAAAGUUUUUAGAAUCUGCUAAUUUUAUCCCAUUCUAUAGAACUGCCUUAAAGAACUUUCACUUAGUGUAAUAAAUAUAUUCAAUUUAAUUUAAAGCAAUUUCUGUAACUAUCUCUUACUUGCAAAUAUUAAAGACUAAACCACUUUACUGGUUAAAUGUAAUAAUGAACUGAAUGUCAGUAAUGAAGUGGCAUAUGGGUGGAGGAGUAAAAAUGAGAGAAUGACAGGGUAUAUCAGGGAUGGAAAAAGAUACGAGAUAUAUUCAUGACUGCUUUUUGUAUUCUCAGCUAAAGCCCUGCAUUUUCCAUUUUCUCAAGAUAAAAUUUAUCCACACAAGCAAUUUAUACCACCAAGUGAAUCUCCUUUAAGUUUAGCUGGAAUUCUGUUAAAUAUUUGAGGUGACAUGCAUUCUAUUCAUUAUCCUGCUCAGUAAGCAUGUCAUCCAAGAAAAUUUUAAAACACCAGUCUUACUCUGGAUUUACACUGAUGUAACCAAGAGAUUUCUGGCCCACAGACUUUCAGUAUGCUUCAGUCAGCCACUUCACAUUGCUUUUGUACGUUCUUCUAGACAUAUAAGCUCUGUGUUUUCUAAAGAGAUAUUUAAUACAUUCAGAGGUUAUAUAGAUCCAUUAAUUAAUAAUGCAUAUUCAGAAUAAUGACCCAUGUGUUUGCCUUUCAGUGAUUUGUGAAUCCUAUUUUUGAUUUGUUAAUGGGUUCAUUAAUGGGCUCGUUAAUGGAUAAGCAAAUUACCAGAAGGCUGCAUAUUAUUUUUUUAAUUUAUGGAUUCACUUUUGAUAGCAAUAAUCAAAAAAAAAAAGCAAAGCUCUAAUUUCAGUUUGAAAGAAUUUGGAGGAGAAGCUGAAAAUAUAGAAAUGAUGUGGAAAAAUGGAAAUUAUCUUCUUGCAACAGAAUAAUAAAACAAGCAGGAGCUAUAAGUUAGCAGGGGUUUCAAAAGAUAGUCAUUUUCUGUGGAAGAGGGAAGGUGUAAAUUAAUUAUAAGAGUAGAAGUAAUGGAAAAUCUGAAUAUCUGUCUACAGAAAGUGUUGCUGUAUAAAGAACAUACUGGGUCAGCGCAGCAUAAAGAACAUAUUGGGUCAGUGCAGCACUGAGAAGGCUGCUUCACUAAUAUUACAAAAAUUGAAGUGUAAUCUGUAACUCUUCAGAAGAUUAAAAGCAGCACAAUUUGAAAACUGUUCUAUAAAUGUUACUUUAGUAGUAAGGCUGAAGAAACUUUUAAAUCUAGAUUACAGUCUUUUCUCACAAGUUAGCAUGCAUUUAUGGAUGUUAAAAUGUCAAUAAAAGAUACAGAAAUAUGCUCCAGCAGUGUAACUUCCUUUAUCCUACUAGAAUGAGACCAAAAAAGAACAGAAUAUCUCUUUCUUUCACCUGGAUAUUAGAGUACUUCCAGAAAAUGGAGAGUUGUAUUUUUCAUGCUUUUUAGAUAAAAAUUGAAUUGAAUGUAUAUGGACUUUUAUAUUUGCUACGAUCAGUGUCAAUGUGUUAUUUCUGUCUUUCAUAGUUUCUUUUAGCAUUGAAUUUGAUAAACUAGAUUUAACAGAAUAAUAUUAUGAAGUAACACAGAAUUUGAUAAAUUGAUUAGGCUUGUCAUCUUGGUUUUCUUUUCAUAAGCAUACAAAAAAGCAAGCAAGAAAUGUUAAAUGGGAACUUUUCAAAACAACCGAUUUACCAGUUUAUUUCUGAAUGCUGACACUAUUUAAUCAAGUACUGUAUAAUAAUAGCAGUAAUAGCAACAGCAAGCAAUGAUGGAAAAUAAAUAACCCAUAAACUUACACCAGAAGACUUUAUGGACGAUGCAUAGAUGUAAAUAGACAGUGUCAUAAAUGCGCAGUCUCUUCCAUUGUUUUUCUAGAACCAAUAAAAGUUGUCAUAUUGC
Dromaius novaehollandiae (emu) is the source of this 7948-nucleotide long non-coding RNA. RefSeq lists it as uncharacterized. Lineage: Eukaryota; Metazoa; Chordata; Aves; Casuariiformes; Dromaiidae. The record is from RefSeq and is a predicted model, not a curated record. The transcript is spliced from 6 exons.